GAUGAACGCUGGCGGCGUGCCUAAUACAUGCCAGUCGAGCGAACAGACGAGGAGCUUGCUCCUCUGACGUUAGCGGCGGACGGGUGAGUAACACGUGGAUAACCUACCUAUAAGACUGGGAUAACUUCGGGAAACCGGAGCUAAUACCGGAUAAUAUAUUGAACCGCAUGGUUCAAUAGUGAAAGACGGUUUUGCUGUCACUUAUAGAUGGAUCCGCGCCGCAUUAGCUAGUUGGUAAGGUAACGGCUUACCAAGGCAACGAUGCGUAGCCGACCUGAGAGGGUGAUCGGCCACACUGGAACUGAGACACGGUCCAGACUCCUACGGGAGGCAGCAGUAGGGAAUCUUCCGCAAUGGGCGGAAGCCUGACGGAGCAACGCCGCGUGAGUGAUGAAGGUCUUCGGAUCGUAAAACUCUGUUAUUAGGGAAGAACAAAUGUGUAAGUAACUAUGCACGUCUUGACGGUACCUAAUCAGAAAGCCACGGCUAACUACGUG
This 497-nucleotide ribosomal RNA is filed under the name uncultured bacterium. RNAcentral's name for it is "partial 16S ribosomal RNA". It matches the Rfam family "Bacterial small subunit ribosomal RNA", at positions 28 to 507 of the family's 1533-position model. The record is from RNAcentral.